GACGAACGGCUGGCGGCGUGGAUUAGGCAUGCAAGUCGGACGGUAGGGCUUUAUCGUAAGAUAGAGUUUGAGAGUGGCGAACGGGUGAGUAACACGUAGGAAUCUACCCUUAAGACGGGGACAACCCAGGGAAACUUGGGCUAAUACCGGAUGAGAGUGCGAGAGAUUGCAUUUAAAAGGAUGGCGAAAGUUGUCGCUUAGGGAUGAGCCUGCGGUCUAUUAGUUAGUUGGUGAGGUAAGAGCUCACCAAGGCGAUGAUAGAUAGGCGGCCUUAACGGGUGGUCGCCCACACUGGGAUUGAGAUACGGCCCAGACUCCUACGGGAGGCAGCAGUCGAGAAUAGUCUACAAUGGGCGAAAGCCUGAUGGAGCGACGCCGCGUGAGCGAAGAAGGCCUUCGGGUUGUAAAGCUCUGUCUGGAGGGACGAAGGAAGUGACGGUACCUCCGGAGGAAGCCACGGCUAACUACGUG
This 471-nucleotide ribosomal RNA is filed under the name uncultured bacterium. RNAcentral describes it as "bacterial SSU rRNA". It matches the Rfam family "Bacterial small subunit ribosomal RNA", at positions 35 to 507 of the family's 1533-position model. The record is from RNAcentral.